Molecule: ribosomal RNA, 413 nt
Filed under: uncultured picoeukaryote
Lineage: Eukaryota
Description: SSU rRNA
Rfam family: Eukaryotic small subunit ribosomal RNA
Source: RNAcentral
ACUUGGAUACUGCGGUAAUUCUGGAGCUAAUACAUGCAUCUAAGCCCCGACUCACGGAGGGGCGCGUUUAUUAGACUAAAACCAAACGGCUUCGGCCGUCUCCCUGGUGAUUCUGAAUAACCGCAAGCGGAUCGCAUGGCCUUGCGCCGGCGACGUUCCCUUCCAAGGUGUGCCCUAUCAACUGUCGACUGUGGCAUAGACGCCCACAGUGGUUUUGACGGGUAACGGGGAAUUAGGGUUCGAUUCCGGAGAGGGAGCCUGAGAAACGGCUACCACUUCUAAGGAAGGCAGCAGGCACGCAAAUUACCCACUGGCCGAAGGUCGAGGUAGUGACGAAAAAUAACGAUACCAGACUCAUCCGAGGCCUGGUAAUCGGAAUGAGCACACUUUAAAUCCUUUAACGAGGAACCAUU